GAGGGGGUAGUUAAACUGGAAAAACCUUAGAAUUUGGCUCUAAAGUUGUGGGUUCGAGCCCCACUCCCCUAG
Molecule: non-coding RNA, 72 nt
Organism: Trichoplax adhaerens
Lineage: Eukaryota; Metazoa; Placozoa; Uniplacotomia; Trichoplacea; Trichoplacidae
Source: Rfam